RNAcentral lists this ribosomal RNA (253 nucleotides) under uncultured bacterium. Its description in RNAcentral is "partial 16S ribosomal RNA". It matches the Rfam family "Bacterial small subunit ribosomal RNA", at positions 524 to 776 of the family's 1533-position model. The record is from RNAcentral.
UACGGGGGGGGCAAGCGUUGUUCGGAAUUACUGGGCGUAAAGGGCUCGUAGGCGGCCAACUAAGUCCGACGUGAAAUCCCCCGGCUUAACCUGGGAACUGCGUCUGAUACUGGGAGGCUAGAGUGCGGGAGAGGGAUGCGGAAUUCCAGGUGUAGCGGUGAAAUGCGUAGAUAUCUGGAGGAACACCGGUGGCGAAGGCGGCAUCCUGGACCGACACUGACGCUGAGGCGCGAAAGCUAGGGUAGCAAACGGG